This is a small nucleolar RNA of 191 nucleotides. It matches the Rfam family "Small nucleolar RNA snR80".
UACAGUUUGCCAACACUCUGGUGCCUAAUCAAAGUUAAAAACACUUUGGAUCUAUAUUAGGUUCCUAUUUUGGUGCAAACAAGAUAAAUUUUUUUAGCUAAUUUACUCACCAAGAUAUACUGAUUUUUAUAAUCAAUGCUUCGGUUUUGAUUCACAAGAUGGUUAUAUUGGUCCAUUUCAAUAGCUUACAU